Molecule: ribosomal RNA, 497 nt
Filed under: uncultured bacterium
Lineage: Bacteria
Description: partial 16S ribosomal RNA
Rfam family: Bacterial small subunit ribosomal RNA
Source: RNAcentral
GAUGAACGCUGGCGGCGUGCCUAAUACAUGCAAGUCGAACGCAUAGCGAAAGGUGCUUGCACCUUUCAAGUGAGUGGCGAACGGGUGAGUAACACGUGGACAACCUGCCUCAAGGCUGGGGAUAACAAUUGGAAACAGAUGCUAAUACCGAAUAAAACUUAGUGUCGCAUGACACAAAGUUAAAAGGCGCUUCGGCGUCACCUAGAGAUGGAUCCGCGGUGCAUUAGUUAGUUGGUGGGGUAAAGGCCUACCAAGACAAUGAUGCAUAGCCGAGUUGAGAGACUGAUCGGCCACAUUGGGACUGAGACACGGCCCAAACUCCUACGGGAGGCUGCAGUAGGGAAUCUUCCACAAUGGGCGAAAGCCUGAUGGAGCAACGCCGCGUGUGUGAUGAAGGCUUUCGGGUCGUAAAGCACUGUUGUAUGGGAAGAACAGCUAGAAUAGGAAAUGAUUUUAGUUUGACGGUACCAUACCAGAAAGGGACGGCUAAAUACGUG